GGGCACAUGGUGUAGUUGGUUAUCACAUCCGCUUAGCAGUCCUAAACUCUGCGAGUUUGCGGGGGGUGCUGGGUUCAAUUCCCAGUGUGUCCA
Non-coding RNA from Cristinia sonorae, 93 nucleotides. NCBI's taxonomy places the organism in Eukaryota, Fungi, Basidiomycota, Agaricomycetes, Agaricales, Stephanosporaceae. The record is from the annotation of a GenBank genome assembly.